This 460-nucleotide ribosomal RNA is filed under the name uncultured bacterium. RNAcentral describes it as "partial 16S ribosomal RNA". It matches the Rfam family "Bacterial small subunit ribosomal RNA", at positions 338 to 795 of the family's 1533-position model. The record is from RNAcentral.
CCUACGGGGGGCAGCAGUGAGGAAUAUUGGUCAAUGGGCGGAAGCCUGAACCAGCCAAGUAGCGUGCGGGAUGAAGGCCCUACGGGUCGUAAACCGCUUUUGCACGGGGAUAACACCCUCCACUUGUGGAGGUCUGCAGGUACCGUGCGAAUAAGGGCCGGCUAAUUCCGUGCCAGCAGCCGCGGUAAUACGGAAGGCCCGAGCGUUAUCCGGAUUCAUUGGGCUUAAAGGGUGCGUAGGCGGUCGGAUAAGUUAGAGGUGAAAUCCCGAGGCUCAACUUCGGAAUUGCCUCUGAUACUGUUCGGCUAGAGAGUAGUUGCGGUAGGCGGAAUGUAUGGUGUAGCGGUGAAAUGCUUAGAGAUCAUACAGAACACCGAUUGCGAAGGCAGCUUACCAAGCUACUUCUGACGUUGAGGCACGAAAGCGUGGGGAGCAAACAGGAUUAGAUACCCGAGUAGUC